UUGACAGUUAUCUUUACAAGUAAAUCAUUUAGGCUACAUGACUGUACUGACAUUAACCCGUCUCUCAUCUCAGAUUACAGACAAUACAAGGGUGUGCUCCAUACAUUUCACCGAUGAUUGCAUUGUUAGGUCACUCGUAGGUUUAAAAAAAACUGAAGAGUGGGAGUGUGCCGUCUCUGUUUUCAUGGUGUCAGCCGAAAGUCAGAAGGGUCAUUCAACGCCACCAAAGUGAUACUGGUAACAUUGGUGAGGAAAACAUUUCAGAUAGGCCUCUGCAUGAUGAGGAAAAUUCCAUACAGGUUUCAGAGGCAGUGCCUGACCAUGACUAUGUGGUGAACUCCUUGUCUGUGGAAGAACAGCUUGAAGCGGCAAAGAGAGAGAUUGCC
Alosa alosa (allis shad) is the source of this 386-nucleotide long non-coding RNA. RefSeq lists it as uncharacterized. The transcript is spliced from 3 exons. Lineage: Eukaryota; Metazoa; Chordata; Actinopteri; Clupeiformes; Clupeidae. The record is from RefSeq and is a predicted model, not a curated record.